Molecule: unclassified non-coding RNA, 429 nt
Filed under: soil metagenome
Description: partial contains 5.8S ribosomal RNA, internal transcribed spacer 2, and large subunit ribosomal RNA
Rfam family: 5.8S ribosomal RNA (bases 1-120)
Source: RNAcentral
GAUGAAGAACGUAGCGAAAUGCGAUACGUAAUGUGAAUUGCAGAAUUCAGUGAAUCAUCGAAUCUUUGAACGCAUAUUGCGCUCUUUGGUAUUCCGAAGAGCAUGCUUGUUUGAGUAUCAGUAAACACCUCAAAGACUUCAAUUUGUUUUGAAUGGCUUUGGACUUGAGCAAUCCCAACACCAGUCUUUACGAUCGGUGGAGGGUUGCUUGAAAUGCAGGUGCAGCUGGACAUUCUCCUGAGCUAUAAGCAUAUUUAUUUAGUCCCGUCAUACGGAUUAUUACUUUUGCUGCAGCUAACAUAAAGGGAGUUUGACCGUAUUGGCUGACUGAUGCAGGAUUUCACAAGGGUCGGCAACGAUUCUUGUAAAACUCGAUCUCAAAUCAAGUAAGACUACCCGCUGAACUUAAGCAUAUCAAUAAGCGGAGGA